CGAGAUGAUGAAGCUCGAAGAUUAAGAGCUGCUGCCAAAGCCCAGGGUGAUAACGCGAAGAAAGUGCGGACACGUGAACUGGCUGCUAGGGGAAUGCCUGCCCCAGAAGCCAAUGCAGAACUUCAAUCUAACAUUGAUAAACGGCGGCUGAUUACUUAUGCAAAUGCAAAGAGCAAAAGUGAAAAGUUUCCUCCACCUCACCAGGAUGGGGCACUUGGCUAUCCUUUAGGAUCAUCUCAGCAUAUUGAUCCUGCAUUGGUCCCUGCUGAUGUAUCUUAUAGCUCUAGUUCAUUCACCUAUUCAAAAGAGCCAGUGCAAACUUGGUCAGGUCCGUUGGUUGACCCAGCUGGGCUUGGUGCUCCAAGGCGAAAGAAGAAUGUCACAGUUGAUACGCGGGAAUCAUCAAAAACAUCAGCAGGGACCCAUAAAGAUAAAACUGGCGAUACUCGGUUUAAGGGAAAGAAAAGCAUGGCUUAAACUUUUAGGACAUACAUGCAAUGGGAAACCAGAUUUGUGAAACUGGCGAUUGCCUAUACAGC
RNAcentral lists this unclassified non-coding RNA (539 nucleotides) under Hevea brasiliensis (rubber tree). Lineage: Eukaryota; Viridiplantae; Streptophyta; Magnoliopsida; Malpighiales; Euphorbiaceae. The record is from RNAcentral.